RNAcentral lists this ribosomal RNA (811 nucleotides) under uncultured bacterium. RNAcentral describes it as "bacterial SSU rRNA". It matches the Rfam family "Bacterial small subunit ribosomal RNA", at positions 8 to 796 of the family's 1533-position model. The record is from RNAcentral.
AGAGUUUGAUCAUGGCUCAGAACGAACGCUGGCGGCGUGGAUAAGACAUGCAAGUCGAGCGAGAUUUUUUCCUGUAGCAAUAUAGGGAAAAGUCUAGCGGCGAACGGGUGCUUAACACGUGGGCAAUCUGCCGAGAAGUGGGGGAUAGCUCGCCGAAAGGCGAAUUAAUACCGCAUGUGAUCAGAGUGGACAUCCAUUUAAAAUUAAAGUCGGGGCAACCUGACGCUUCUUGAGGAGCCCGCGGCCUAUCAGCUAGUUGGUGAGGUAACGGCCCACCAAGGCUUUGACGGGUAGCUGGUCUGAGAGGACGACCAGCCACACUGGGACUGAGACACGGCCCAGACACCUACGGGUGGCAGCAGUCGAGAAUUUUUCUCAAUGGGGGAAACCCUGAAGGAGCGACGCCGCGUGGAGGAUGAAGGUCUUCGGAUUGUAAACUUCUGUCAUUGGGGAACAAGGUGCAUACGUUAACUGCGUGUGCAUUGAUAGUACCCGAAGAGGAAGAGACGGCUAACUCUGUGCCAGCAGCCGCGGUAAUACAGAGGUCUCAAGCGUUGUUCGGAUUCAUUGGGCGUAAAGGGUGCGUAGGCGGCGCGGUAAGUCGGGUGUGAAAUUCUUGGAGCUUAACUCCGAAACUGCAUUCGAUACUGCCGUGCUUGAGGACUGGAGAGGAGACUGGAAUUUACGGUGUAGCGGUGAAAUGCGUAGAUAUCGUAAGGAAGACCAGUGGCGAAGGCGGGUCUCUGGACAGUUCCUGACGCUGAGGCACGAAGGCCAGGGGAGCAAACGGGAUUAGAUACCCCGGUAGUCC